Molecule: long non-coding RNA, 876 nt
Filed under: Equus caballus (horse)
Lineage: Eukaryota; Metazoa; Chordata; Mammalia; Perissodactyla; Equidae
Description: lncRNA (ENSECAG00000040926.2)
Source: RNAcentral
UGGCCAGAGUGGAGCCAUGUGUCCUGAAUAGUUCUCAUUUCAGCACUCAUCUCGCCCUCCUGUUAUGAAAGUAAACAACCAAUGUGUGUUAAUGCCCUCUCUGUGCUGGAAUGCUGGUGCUCAGGGGUGGUUCCCCAGACCAGCAGCAUCAGCAGUGGCUGAGUACUUCUGUUAGAAAUGCCAAUCAGAAACUCCGGGGGCGGAAUCCAGCCAUCUGUGUUUCAACAAGCCCAGGAGAUUCCCACAAGGAGCAUUUCCUGGAAGCAGAACUUGUCUCUCACUGAAACAGGACGUGACUAUGAGGCGUGUUCCAAUUUCAGCUGUUGGCGCCCCGGCUGCCAGGAGGAAGCCACAGCCCCAGCCCCAUCCUUGGUGGAGAGUGCCGGAGAGCGUGGCCGCUUCCUGAGGCCGGCAGAGCAUUCCAGUCUUCCUCACGCAGUCUUAGCCGUCAGACUGGGGACUAACCCUACUUGGAGUCGAUAUUCCUGCAAGAAACCUUCACUUAGGAAGUUUGAUCUUUGCCACAUCACAGAGACGGGGAGAGAUCUCUCUCACAACAGAGCCAGAGGCCAGUCUUGACUAAAAGGAGAUAGAUACAGAUCGUCUUUUUAAAGAAAAAUUUUGCAACGGCGGAGGUAGGCUCCAAAUCUGGGAAAAGUUUGGAUUUUUGAGAAUGAAUACAAAUUAAAUGCAUUUCAAAAAAAUUAAAUGAACAUGAGGGGGAACAUUAAUGGAACCCUCCAUAAAAUUUUAAAAAAUCACCUACAAAUCUCAAUACGUCCACAAAUUAUUUUCAGAAAACAACAGGGGUUCUAAGAGACUGAAGCAUAUUCAUUUUGAUGAGUAACUGCUUGGGUCCUCUUGAAUGUACUGGGC